GCGACUAAGCGUACACGGUGGAUGCCCUGGCAGUCAGAGGCGAUGAAGGGCGUACUAAUCUGCGAUAAGCGCCGGUAAGGUGAUAUGAACCGUUAUAACCGGCGAUACCCGAAUGGGGAAACCCAGUGUGAUUCGUCACACUAUCAUUAACUGAAUCCAUAGGUUAAUGAGGCGAACCGGGGGAACUGAAACAUCUAAGUACCCCGAGGAAAAGAAAUCAACCGAGAUUCCCCCAGUAGCGGCGAGCGAACGGGGAGGAGCCCAGAGCCUGAAUCAGCAUGUGUGUUAGUGGAAGCGUCUGGAAAGGCGCGCGAUACAGGGUGACAGCCCCGUACACAAAAGCGCAUGUGCUGUGAGCUCGAUGAGUAGGGCGGGACACGUGGUAUCCUGUCUGAAUAUGGGGGGACCAUCCUCCAAGGCUAAAUACUCCUGACUGACCGAUAGUGAACCAGUACCGUGAGGGAAAGGCGAAAAGAACCCCGGCGAGGGGAGUGAAAAAGAACCUGAAACCGUGUACGUACAAGCAGUGGGAGCACAGGUUUACCUGUGUGACUGCGUACCUUUUGUAUAAUGGGUCAGCGACUUAUAUUCUGUAGCAAGGUUAACCGAAUAGGGGAGC
This 619-nucleotide ribosomal RNA is filed under the name Salmonella enterica subsp. enterica serovar Enteritidis. RNAcentral's name for it is "partial 23S ribosomal RNA". It matches the Rfam family "Bacterial large subunit ribosomal RNA", at positions 1 to 666 of the family's 2925-position model. The record is from RNAcentral. Lineage: Bacteria; Pseudomonadati; Pseudomonadota; Gammaproteobacteria; Enterobacterales; Enterobacteriaceae.